AAAUAGAAGAUUACAUAUUUAUAUAUAAAUCUUCUAUAAUUAAUCUACUUAAUUAGAAAUAUCAGUCCUACCUAUUUAUGAAUAUAAAUCCUAUGCUAAUUAGAAAUAUAUAAAAUUCAUAUUAACUUUUCAUAACACUCUUCCCUGAAAGUGGAAUCUCAUCAAUUCCCACAAAUAAGAAAACAUAAUAAAUUCCUAAAUUAAGUUGGAGACUCCUAAGAUAAUUUAGAACAUGUCCUGUGGCUGUUGGAAGAAAAAAACAAGGUGUCCAGGACACUGAAUUUCUGCUGUAUAAUUUGAGAGAGAAUUUGAGAGAUAUUUCUGCUGUAUAAUUUGAGGGAAAUUUCUGCUGUAUCUUUACUAAUAAUAAUCUGUACUGAAAUAAAUAGAGUGUGCGCACGAGAGAGAGAAUGUCCAGGUUGAGUUGGGACUGCUGGCCACUGAAUUUGGCCAAAAAACGUGGCUUCUCUGUUUGGGCAGAAAAACACAUCUCCACAAGCUACCACAGAGGGAAACACAAAUUUCUGACUCUGUUGUGCCUUGUGGAACAUGCCCUGGGUGUGUUCUGGGCUGCCGAAACACGCUAGGGCUGUGUUCUUUGCUGUUUGGAACUCCAAGCCUCGUGUCACUAUUUGCUUGACUGAGUUGGGCAAAGUGAACAAAGAAUAGUUUAGGCUACAUUUGUAAAAUUCCUUAGGCAUCACAUCCAAGGUUUCCCAGGCAUCACACAAUUCGAAGUAUAAUUACUAGAAUUCGUAUUGAUGUGAGUAUAUAUAGAUUCAAACAUUAAUCCAUAACCUUUCAGGAUUUGGACUCCCUAAAGUAAACCUUCAAGUAAUCCUAAUUAAGUAAUCCUUACAUAGUGUUUGGGUCAAUUUUAUUAAAAAUUUUGUGGAAUUUAAUUGAAUUCUAGUUAGAAUUCAU
Molecule: unclassified non-coding RNA, 924 nt
Filed under: Hevea brasiliensis (rubber tree)
Lineage: Eukaryota; Viridiplantae; Streptophyta; Magnoliopsida; Malpighiales; Euphorbiaceae
Source: RNAcentral